AGAUUGAACGCUAGCGGGAUGCUUUACACAUGCAAGUCGAACGGCAGCGCGGACUUCGGUCUGGCGGCGAGUGGCGAACGGGUGAGUAAUAUAUCGGAACGUGCCCAGUAGCGGGGGAUAACUACGCGAAAGCGUGGCUAAUACCGCAUACGCCCUACGGGGGAAAGGGGGGAUCGCAAGACCUCUCACUAUUGGAGCGGCCGAUAUCAGAUUAGCUAGUUGGUGAGGUAAAGGCUCACCAAGGCGACGAUCCGUAGCGGGUCUGAGAGGACGACCCGCCACACUGGAACUGAGACACGGUCCAGACUCCUACGGGAGGCAGCAGGUGGGGAAUUUGGAACAAGUGGGGGCAACCCGUGAUCCAGCCAUUCCGCGUGAGUGAAGAAGGCCUUGGGUUAGUAAGUC
Molecule: ribosomal RNA, 405 nt
Filed under: uncultured soil bacterium
Lineage: Bacteria
Description: bacterial SSU rRNA
Rfam family: Bacterial small subunit ribosomal RNA
Source: RNAcentral